GACGAACCGUGCGAACGUUGUUCGGAAUAACUGGGCUUAAAGGGCGCGUAGGCGGGCUGCCAAGUUCGGGGUGAAAUCCUCCCGCUCAACGGGAGAACUGCCCCGAAUACUGGCGGUCUCGAGGGAGGUAGGGGCGUGCGGAACUAUGGGUGGAGCGGUGAAAUGCGUUGAUAUCCAUAGGAACUCCGGUGGCGAAGGCGGCACGCUGGACCUCUUCUGACGCUGAGGCGCGAAAGCCAGGGGAGCAAACAGG
RNAcentral lists this ribosomal RNA (253 nucleotides) under uncultured bacterium. RNAcentral's name for it is "partial 16S ribosomal RNA". It matches the Rfam family "Bacterial small subunit ribosomal RNA", at positions 524 to 776 of the family's 1533-position model. The record is from RNAcentral.